CCUACGGGAGGCAGCAGUGGGGAAUAUUGCGCAAUGGGCGCAAGCCUGACGCAGCAACGCCGCGUGCAGGAAGAAGGCCUUCGGGUUGUAAACUUCUUUUCUCAGGGACGAAGCCAGUGACGGUACCUGAGGAAUAAGCUACGGCUAACUACGGGCCAGCAGCCGCGGUAAUACGUAGGUGGCAACCGUUAUCCGGAUUUACUGGGUGUAAAGGGCGUGGAGGCGGGACAGCAAGUCAGAUGGGAAAGCCUUGGGCUCAACCUGUGGCCUGCAUUUGACACUGUUUUUCUUGAGUACUGUAGAGGCAGACGGAAUUCCUAGUGUAGCGGUGAAAUGCGUAGAGAUUAGGAGGAACACCAGUGGCGAAGGCGGUCUGCUGGACAGCAACUGACGCUGAGGCGCGAAAGCGUGGGGAGCAAACAGGAUUAGAUACCCCAGUAGUC
This 443-nucleotide ribosomal RNA is filed under the name uncultured bacterium. RNAcentral's name for it is "partial 16S ribosomal RNA". It matches the Rfam family "Bacterial small subunit ribosomal RNA", at positions 338 to 795 of the family's 1533-position model. The record is from RNAcentral.